GUCGAGCGAACGGACGAGAAGCUUGCUUCUCUGAUGUUAGCGGCGGACGGGUGAGUAACACGUGGAUAACCUACCUAUAAGACUGGGAUAACUUCGGGAAACCGGAGCUAAUACCGGAUAAUAUUUUGAACCGCAUGGUUCAAAAGUGAAAGACGGUCUUGCUGUCACUUAUAGAUGGAUCCGCGCUGCAUUAGCUAGUUGGUAAGGUAACGGCUUACCAAGGCAACGAUGCAUAGCCGACCUGAGAGGGUGAUCGGCCACACUGGAACUGAGACACGGUCCAGACUCCUACGGGAGGCAGCAGUAGGGAAUCUUCCGCAAUGGGCGAAAGCCUGACGGAGCAACGCCGCGUGAGUGAUGAAGGUCUUCGGAUCGUAAAACUCUGUUAUUAGGGAAGAACAUAUGUGUAAGUAACUGUGCGCAUCUUGACGGUACCUAAUCAGAAAGCCACGGCUAACUACGUGCCAGCAGCCGCGGUAAUACGUAGGUGGCAAGCGUUAUCCGGAAUUAUUGGGCGUAAAGCGCGCGUAGGCGGUUUUUUAAGUCUGAUGUGAAAGCCCACGGCUCAACCGUGGAGGGUCAUUGGAAACUGGAAAACUUAAGUGCAGAAGAGGAAAGUGGAAUUCCAUGUGUAGCGGUGAAAUGCGCAGAGAUAUGGAGGAACACCAGUGGCGAAGGCGACUUUCUGGUCUGUAACUGACGCUGAUGUGCGA
RNAcentral lists this ribosomal RNA (713 nucleotides) under uncultured Staphylococcus sp. RNAcentral describes it as "bacterial SSU rRNA". It matches the Rfam family "Bacterial small subunit ribosomal RNA", at positions 61 to 756 of the family's 1533-position model. The record is from RNAcentral. Lineage: Bacteria; Bacillati; Bacillota; Bacilli; Caryophanales; Staphylococcaceae.